AUGAGAGGGCUCAUCUGGAACUGCAGAGAGGUGGGCAAGAAAGGGAUAGCCACUUGCCUCUCUGAUAUGAUUAGUGACCAUUCCCUAGACUUCCUAGACCAUGAAAAAAAAUUCACUCCUAAAUGUCUAAGGAGAAUAGACCCAUGUUACCAAUUCAAAUGGAACCAGAUUUCGCCUGAAGGAAAAUCAGGAGGCAUCUUGUGUGGGGUUCGCCAAGAUACUCUGGAAAUUGUGUCUUUCAACAAAGGCAAGUACAUUCUCCAAGUUAUCCUUAGUGACAAGAAAAGAAAAAGCAAGUGGGGUCUAAUUGUGGUUUAUGGGUCGGCCCACGAUGAGUUCAAGGAGGAUUUCUUGCUUGAACCAGCUGCCAUGUGCAGUAAUAUGCAAAUUCCAUAUAUAGUGGGCGGGGACUUCAAUAUUCUUAGACAUUCAUGA
Molecule: ribosomal RNA, 435 nt
Filed under: Triticum aestivum (bread wheat)
Lineage: Eukaryota; Viridiplantae; Streptophyta; Magnoliopsida; Poales; Poaceae
Description: partial small subunit ribosomal RNA
Source: RNAcentral